ACUACUAUAUGUGAAGAUGUUGUAAUAUUUGUCUAAUUUUUGGGGUACCUCUAACGUUACAAUUAUACACUAUGUCUCUUAGUAAAGCAGUAUUACAUCGGAAUAUUUUGUUGAAGACUCUAGCAUUUCUUUCCAGCCAGAUAGCAUAUGCAAACUCAGCUAUGACCACUUUGAAGGUGGCAGCUCGAGGUGUUCGACCUUUGGCUUUGCCUAUCAACCAUUGCAUUUUUUGGUUCCAGUAAGAUUUUGGUGUUUCCUGGAGCCAGUUCAUUGUUCUUUCCCAUAAGUCCACAGUGACAGGGCAGUUCAUUAAUAAGUGAUCUCUUGAUUCCGGGUGGCUUUGGCACAAUGGGCACUGCUGAUCGAUAGUCAUUCCCCAGCUGUGUAGUCUGUCCUUUGUUGGGAGUCUAUCCUGGAGGAAUAACCAUAGAUUGAAUGUUGCUUUUGGCCUUGCUUGGUGCUGUAUGAUUAAGUUCUUCCAUGUCACUCUUGGCAUUGUUUGCAUCUUUGGUACAACUGUCUUGUCGAGCACUUCUGUUCCUUCCAAUUCUGGAUCCUUUGUAGAACAUCUCUAGCUUGGAUAAUUUUCCUCACCAUCCAACUAGCUUGGGCAGGAAUUGGAAUGGAUUCUAUUGGUCUGACCUAGAUGUAGGAGACAGUGAUCCACCUGAUCCACAACUUGUCCUUUUUAUGUGCUAGAUCCUAGCAGGUCUUUGCAAUGGCAGCUUUGUUCCAGAGCUUUAGGUUAGUUAGGUUCGUCCCCCCAACUGAUUUCGGGGUAUACAUUUUGUCCCAAGAGAUGUAGGCUUUCUUAGUUACAGUAUUCAUCCCGGACCAAAUAAAACUCCUACAGAUACCUUCAAUCAUUUUGAGCACUUUCACGGGCAAUAUAAACAGCUGUGCGCAGUUAGCUUGGAUCCCAAAUAUUACAGAUUGUACAAGCUGUAGCCUCCCAGAGUAAGACAAUGUCCUGGCAGUCCAGGAUGUGAUUUUUGCUGUGAUUCUGUCCACUAAUGGUUUCCAUUGCAGCAUUGUGAUUUUCUUGGUGGACAGUGGGACUCCAAGGUAUUUAAAAGGCAGUGGUCCUUGUUCAUAACCCAGGUGAUCAAGAAUCUGUUGCUGUAUGGGCACUGGUACUCCACCAAAAUAUACUGAGCUUUUGUUCAGAUUUGCUUGGAGUCCUGAGGCUCCUGAGAACUGUGUGAAGAAAUUGGACAAUGCCUUGACAGAGUUGAGGCCACCUUUAACAAAUAGAAGUAGGUCAUCGGCAAAGCACAUAAGUGCCUUGACAGAGUUGAGGUCACCUUUAGCAAAGAGAAGUAAAUCAUCAGCAAGCACAUAUGUGUGAUGUCCAGCUUCUUGCAUCCGGGAUGGAAUGUAUAGGCCGGAUCAUCCUUUAGUGAGGAACGGGAUCUACUUAAGUACUCCAUGACAAGGCAAAAAGGUAGGGGGAUAUGGGAUCCCCUCGCCUCAGUCCUCUGGCAGCAGCAAAAGGUAUGGUAGGUUCACCAUUAACUAACACAGAGAAGGGGGGGAGAUGGGAUCUCCUUGCCUCAGUCCUCUGGCAGCAGCAAAAGGUAUGGAAGGUUCACCAUUAACUAACACAGAGAAGGUAACUGUUGAGAUGCAUUCCAUGGUCCAUUUUGUGAAGGUGCUGGGGAAGCCAAUUUGCUCCAUAACUUGCUUCAGGAAUGUCCAUUCAACUGUAUCAUAUGCUUUCUGGAGGUCGAUUUUAAUCAUACAUCUAGAGGAAACAUUCUGCCUAGUAUAGCUUUUUACAAGCUCAUGUGCUAGGAUGAUGUUAUCCUGAAUCUUUCUUCCUGGGAUGAAACCUACCUGAGCUUCACUGAUAAUACUUGUCAUUACCUUCUGCAGCCUAUUUGCUAGGAUUUUUGAGAUGAUCUUGUAUAGGACAGAACAACAGGCAAUAGGUCUGAACUCUUUGACUGUAGUUGGUUUGGAUAGUUUAGGAAUGAGGGUGAUAGUGGCACAGUUGAUUGGUUUGUACAUCCUAGCUGAUGUGAAGAACUGUUAGAUGUGAAGUUCUGCCCAUCAGUGCUUUGUAAAAGCCUAUGAUUUCCUCUUUGAUUUCCUCAGCUGUAGUGAGUUUGGUGCCCACUGCGUUAAUAAGCUCAGUG
RNAcentral lists this long non-coding RNA (2138 nucleotides) under Nicotiana benthamiana. Its description in RNAcentral is "long non-coding RNA (NBEN_LNC023636)". The record is from RNAcentral. Lineage: Eukaryota; Viridiplantae; Streptophyta; Magnoliopsida; Solanales; Solanaceae.